UUGCUUUAUCUGGAUCAUAGCAUAUCAAACAUACAUGGUGUAAAAAUAUUUAUAUCAUGUAGGAUUGGCGUACAAGGAUUCUUACUCUUUGUUGAAAACUCAAACAACUAAUCAUCCGCCCUCACGGCGAUCUAUGAAUCGAAAUGUGCAGGACUCUGCUCAACAUCCUCUCGUCCAAUAGAUUGUUCUCUUACAGAACCAAGUCAUCAUUAAAAUUUAUCAAAGAUAUAUGAUGAUCUAGGACCCCUGUUUAAUCCUCUAAAGGGUCCCCUAAAAUUUAGCAUCCCAAGACUAACCAAUAAUCCAUGAUCUCCCUG
RNAcentral lists this long non-coding RNA (317 nucleotides) under Phoenix dactylifera (date palm). RNAcentral's name for it is "long non-coding RNA (PDAC_LNC017001)". The record is from RNAcentral. Lineage: Eukaryota; Viridiplantae; Streptophyta; Magnoliopsida; Arecales; Arecaceae.